GGAGGCACUGGAGACAAAGAUCAGCCACGUGGCAGUCAACCAUGUCUAUCUGACCAAGUUCCAAUGAAAACUCUGGACACCAAGGCUUGGGAGAUAUUUCUCAAAAGACUCCUCUGCGGGAGAGGAGAAUAGCUGUACUCUAAGCAGUUCGCAGGGAGCAUCUUUCAGCAGCUGAAACAGCUUUGCGGCCUUGCUGUAAUGAAGAUCUGCCAGCACCCGGUGUUGUUUCCUAAGGUGUUCAUCACCAACCUAGAACCAAACCAAAACAAGCAACAAAUCCUUCACGGGUCUCGCUCUGUCGCCCAGGCUGGAGAUGCAGUGGUGCAAUCCUGGCUCACUGCAACCUCCGCCUCCUGAACUCAAGCAAUUCCCCUGCCUCAGCCUCCCAAGUUGCUGGGAUUACAGGCACCCGCCACUACUGCUUGGCUAAUUUUUUAAUUUUUUUCUGGGGUUUUGUCAUGUUGGCUAGGCUGCUCUCUAACUCCCGACCUCAAAUGAUCCAACCACCUCGGCUCCCAAAGUGCUGGGAUUACAGGCAUGAACUGGAGAAGAUUUCUUUCCACUUCGACUUAGGAAGUCCUCAACCAAAAUUCAGGUUUGCCCAGAUGGCCUAAUAUCCUGAGGGCAAAAGCAAGCUUAAGGGUGCCAAGACAAUGCAGCAGAGGAGUAGUCUUUUCAGCAAAUGGUGCUGGGACAACUAGAUAUCUAUAUG
This is a long non-coding RNA of Homo sapiens (human), 712 nucleotides long. Ensembl annotates it as EDRF1 antisense RNA 1. Its record names the gene EDRF1-AS1. NCBI's taxonomy places the organism in Eukaryota, Metazoa, Chordata, Mammalia, Primates, Hominidae. The record is from Ensembl.